CAGAAAGACCCUAUGAAGCUUUACUGUAGCUUGGAAUUGACUUCAAACUUUAUUUGCGUAGGAUAGGUGGGAGGCUAUGAAGAUGAUCUUCUGGGAUUAUUGGAGCCAUCCUUGAAAUACCACCCUAAUAAUGUGAGAAUUCUAACUUUUCGCUGUGAAUCCAGCUGAAGGACAUUUUCAGGUGGUCAGUUUGACUGGGGCGGUCGCCUCCCAAAAGGUAACGGAGGCGUACAAAGGUUUCCUCAAAUCGGUCAGAAAUCGAUUGUAGAGCGCAAAGGCAAAAGGAAGCUUGACUGUGAGACCUACAAGUCGAACAGGGACGAAAGUCGGUCUUAGUGAUCUGACGGUACCAAGUGGAAGGGCCGUCACUCAACGGAUAAAAGUUACUCUAGGGAUAACAGGCUGA
Molecule: ribosomal RNA, 406 nt
Filed under: Unruhdinium sp.
Lineage: Eukaryota; Dinophyceae; Peridiniales; Kryptoperidiniaceae
Description: partial large subunit ribosomal RNA
Rfam family: Bacterial large subunit ribosomal RNA
Source: RNAcentral